This 257-nucleotide long non-coding RNA is filed under the name Homo sapiens (human). RNAcentral's name for it is "HSALNT0340763". Lineage: Eukaryota; Metazoa; Chordata; Mammalia; Primates; Hominidae. The record is from RNAcentral.
GGUUCUGAGCGGGAGCUGUGCACAUCUAGGCUGAGGGCCUUUCUGGUACAGCCUUCCGCGGCCGUCAGUGCUGCUUCUGCCCCAGCUCCCAUGGCAGGUGGAAAAUGCAAUCUGGAGUGUUCCUGGGGAGCUCUGCUGUGUAAACCUUGGCUUUACAGUGAGAAGACGGGCUGAUCACAGAUGUGAACCGUCAGGUAACCAGGGCUGCAGUGAGAGCCACAGAUUUCAUGGGAAGUGGAAGAGGAGAUGGAAAGAGG